Long non-coding RNA from Mus pahari (shrew mouse), 4045 nucleotides. RefSeq lists it as uncharacterized. The transcript has 3 exons. NCBI's taxonomy places the organism in Eukaryota, Metazoa, Chordata, Mammalia, Rodentia, Muridae. The record is from RefSeq and is a predicted model, not a curated record.
CACUCAGGAAGAACUAAGGCAAAAGGAUCACAGAUGCUGCUUGGGGCCAGCCCCGUACUCCCGCCAGUGCCUGGUCUCCCGUGGGCCCGCGGGGCUCUGCAGUUCGCUGGCGGCCGAGCCUUGUGAGCGCUAAGCCGGGAGGAGGGCGCAGUCAGGGCGCACAGCUCUGAGCGCGCCCCUACCCGGCUCGGGCCCGCAGCAGCCCGGACUGUCCGAGAGCCUCCCCGCAAGCAAGGCUGUGCGCCUCCCUCUGAGCGCACCUCCUGGCCACAACGCCGCCUGCGCUUCUCCAGCCCAGGCCGGAAGCCCUAUGCUGCCUUCCGAAGCCGGACUUUCUGGAAGCCCACCUCCAUAUGCUCACCAGCCCACCCUCCUACGCUGGUCAGAGUGAGAUUGCUAACCUCAAGACCCCAUUCAAUGCCAGCUUUCAACUACUGCUGAAGACCAAUGUAGGUCCCAGGAUAGAAGAACCGCAGAGUCUAAAUCUAUUUGACCGGCCCCUCCUCCCUUCCCUCCUUCCAUUCAGCUCCACUCCCGUGCCCAGCCCUCUUUCCAGCCCACGACCCCUAAACUAAGCCCAGGCAUAAACUCCAGGAUCAUCUCUGAGCCGGACGACAGUAGUGCCCAGGUCACGAUCCGUUCUAAGGGCAAAAGCAAUGACAGAAAAGUCAGGGGCGGGUGCUCUAGGAGAGAGGGAGACCUGAAACGGAGGGUAGGAUUCAGUUCGGAGCCCACCGGCUGCUGAGGGGAGGAGGCGAAAGGAGGGGGCUGGGAGUCCACGGGUCGGGGCAGCAGGGACUUCAGGCGGCGGCGUGGGGGGCUAGAUCCGGAGGAGAGGGGAGGGGUGGCGGGGGUCGGAGGAACACGCAGGGCGGAGGGGUGUGGGGCUCUUUAAGAGCCACACGGCUAGCAGGAGAGGCGUGCGGCCCUGUGCUGGUAGCGCACUGACCCCGAAGGGGAUUUAGCGGGAAAGGAGCGACCUGGUUCUGGGGGCUUUGUCCGGGGGCGCCCAGAAAGGCCGAGACACAAGAAUAAGAAGCGCUUGCAGCGUGAAAGGCUGCGAGGAGCGGCGGCGCUGCUGCUCUUGACUUCUGAGCAGGGCUUAGAAGGCCUGCCCCGGCUUAAGCUGAACUGAGGGUGCUGAGCCCUGAGUCCUGGCCUUUAAGCUGAGGAGGCGUGGGAUAGGGGCGGACGCUGGAGUAGUGGGUCUUCUUGCGACAACCCCCUCUUGGAUCUUACAGCCUUGCUACCCUAGCGCAUGGUUGUUAGCCUAGCCCGCCGCGUCUGGCAUAGCCAAAGAAAUUUACUUUCCCAGCUUGGCUUUUGCUUUUGUGUGUCCACCUCAAGCAGAUCCGGAGCUGGCCGACCCCAGACUGAUUCUCAACAGGUGGCUGGGUAGUGACCCCCAUUCUGUGUUGGUAGUACGGGACCCAUCGCACACAGAGAAGCUACCUUCUCACACCUCACCCCGUUGGCCCAAAGACUGACCACCCGCGCCCGAGUCGGGGGGUGGGAAUCCCGGAUGACACACACACACACACACACACACACACACACACACACACACACACCAGGGUAGGAGAACAGGGAGGACCUUACCUGCAGAAAGGUAAGAGAAACCGGGAGCGUGUAGCAGCGGCGGAUAAAUAUUCAUUAGGAAGUGUAAGUCCUUUCAAAGGGCUCCGCGCGCGCGCGCUCUAGCUCCUGUCUCUCUUUCUCUCCCUCCCUCUGUCCUCCAGGAAGGCUUCUCCUCCUCUAGCUCUCUCAACGCCCCCCCACCUCCUGCGACAUACCGGGUGGAUCCUAGGCUAGCUAACCUGUUGGGAAGCCUGAACUGCGGCAGCGCCUCUGCAGCUAGCAGUUUGCUUUCGCUCCUGGGGCGCGCGUCCCCCCCCCCAGUCCCCUCCCCUCCUUCCUUUCGCCCAGCCCCUCACCCCUCCUAAAUUACUACAUCAUUAGCUUUAUUGGGCGGGGAGGGGGUAACGGAGCAGCCAGACGCACCUCUCCAUAGAAGGGUGAAUAGUUGGUGCCCUGCGAUGCAACCCCAACUCCAUCUCCACCUCAUUCUCACCCAUCUGCACAUCCUCACCCAAUCUUGCUUCUUUUUCUUCGCUCUUUCCACCUCCACCUCCAUCCUGUGUCAACCUAACUCCCUCAGCAGCCCUCCCACCCGCCGCCGCCAAUCCGGAUCACAGAUUGGGUUGAGAGUGAGAUUGCAAGGCAGUUAGGUCCGAAGGUCCUGCGUGUCGAGGUUAGAACUCCUCCCUGCCGUGAGUAUGGGAUGGUUAUCAAGAUCUCCUUCUCCUCCCUGACCCUGCAAGGUUACCGAACAGCUUGGACUUUUGAAUCAGAUCUCUGGAGUGAGCAUUAAGAACUCCAGCCAUACAGAGCUCAGGGCCUGGCCCUUUCACUCAUCCACCGAAGCUGCUUGAGGGAUGGGGAGAGGUGACUUCACUCAGCGCCAACAAGCAGGAGAAACUCAUAGACCGACAGUUGGACUAAUACUCCUCGUCCUUUAAGAAUGCACUAUCUGAAGUUAGUCGCAAGUCAUCUUCAAUCAAGGAAAGGGAAAAAAAAUCCUCACAUCUAGAAGCUUUGCUGAAGCCACUUCCAACAGCACGCCCUUCUCUGUGCACGCCCCAAUGCCUGCUCUCUCUCGGGCAGGUGAAAAUAUAGGCUGCCCAGGCCAGAGGAGAGAAGGCGGUGGAGGAAUACAUUGCUUAGGGUUGUUUAGAAACUUGGAAUAACUGUAUUCAACACUCUGCUCGCUACCAGCACCUUAGGUUCCCUCUUGGGACCCUGAAAAGUGUGGCUUUGCCCCACGAUGUCUGGGCGGGGGUGGGGGUGGGGGGUGGGGGUGGGGAGGGGUUGAAGUGAUUCUAGCUUUGGCCCUCCUACUGGGAGCUUAAAGUUGGGGUGAGGGCUUAAGGAGGAGUCGAGGGGGUGGGCCCUGCUAGUUUGCCAGUGUAAGUGCAGCUGCACCUGGAACACCAAGAAGGAAAGUCUUGUCCCCUAUCGCUCAGGGUGCUUGCUUAGAGGCUCCCCUAGGUUAACAACGGGAGCUUCUCUCUCUUCUGAGCCCCAGGGCAACAUAGGACGAUGGUGGCCGGGAUGCCAGCUGACGUCUAAACGCCAUAAGACUUCACUUGCCUCUCAUUUUGGCUGUUCGGAGCUAAUGUCUACCAGAGGAGGUUUUAGAAGCUGGUCUUACCCGUCCUGAAUCCAUCCUGUGAGGAUGCAGAGGGUCGCUCCUUCUUGUUAAAGGUUAGCAUAAUACUUACUUAGGGUAGAGGAAGAUGUGAAAAAAAAAAAAAAAAAAAAAGCCUGGGGUGCUUAGGGCCAACCUUACAGCUCACCCAAAGUCCAGAACCUCCCAUUGUAUACCUUCUCUCUCCAACACAGAUUCCUAAGGUCUCUUCUUCAUCUGGCGUUCACAGAAGGUAAAGUGUGCAAGAACACACUUAGGAAAAUUAUAGGAACUCUAACCUCAGUGCUGGAGGAAUAAAGACUUGGCGAAGGAAUGGAUCGAAUGCUUGAACACAUACACCUUGUUGUCCAGAGGCAGACAAAAGCUACCACGUCCACUUGGAGUGACGCCCAGACAUGCACACAGGAAGCCAAGGAGAGUGGGCUCAACCAGAGUACAGUACUUCCUGCAAGAUGCCCAGUGGGCCUGGAAAAAAAAAAUCUUCCAUUGACUCUUCUGUAUGGAAAGUUUCAGGCCACGUUCUGAAGAAAGGGCCAAGGAAUGAUCUGCCCCACAGGCUGCCUUUAGGCUCCCCUACCUGCUCUGCUGGAGACACCCAGAAGAGGCCAGUACAGGGAAGACUCCUUUUGCUUUGAUUAUUUCUGUUGCUGGUUGUCUUUUUUUUCCCGCCCUUUGCCUGGAAAAUUGUGCUCUGGAAUAGGGCUUGAGCCGACAGCACAGGCCUCCAGUAGAUAACAAGAGAUUCUCAAUGUCCAAUGAGGACAGUCCGUUCUAAGGAAGCUUCCAGAUAUGGGAAAGCCCUGUUUUGUCCCCCUUUCUCUUCUGAGAUCUGAAAAA